RNAcentral lists this ribosomal RNA (451 nucleotides) under uncultured bacterium. RNAcentral describes it as "bacterial SSU rRNA". It matches the Rfam family "Bacterial small subunit ribosomal RNA", at positions 29 to 510 of the family's 1533-position model. The record is from RNAcentral.
AACGAACGCUGGCGGCAGGCCUAACACAUGCAAGUCGAGCGCCCAGCAAUGGGAGCGGCAGACGGGUGAGUAACGCGUGGGAACCUUCCCAAUGGUACGGAAUAGCUCAGGGAAACUUGAGGUAAUACCGCAUAAGCCCGAAAGGGAAGAUUUAUCGCCAUUGGAUGGGCCCGCGUAGGAUUAGCUAGUUGGUGAGGUAAUGGCUCACCAAGGCGACGAUCCUUAGCUGGUUUGAGAGAAUGACCAGCCACACUGGGACUGAGACACGGCCCAGACUCCUACGGGAGGCAGCAGUGGGGAAUCUUGGACAAUGGGCGGCAAGCCUGAUCCAGCCAUGCCGCGUGAGUGACGAAGGUCUUCGGAUUGUAAAGCUCUUUCGGGAGGGAAGAUGGAAUGGGGUAACCCAAUUCGGACGGUACCUCCAGAAGCAGCCACGGCUAACUUCGUGCCA